UUCAAGUGAAGAGUUUGAUCCUGGCUCAGAUUGAACGCUGGCGGCAUGCCUAACACAUGC
RNAcentral lists this ribosomal RNA (60 nucleotides) under Pseudofulvimonas gallinarii. RNAcentral's name for it is "partial 16S ribosomal RNA". Lineage: Bacteria; Pseudomonadati; Pseudomonadota; Gammaproteobacteria; Lysobacterales; Rhodanobacteraceae. The record is from RNAcentral.